GCUUAUUUGAAAACAAUAAUAAAAAAUAUAGGUCACCGAUGAGUUAAAAAAGAUAUUUCAAUUUUAAUGCCCAAAAAUGGCAUUUUUGAACCAAAGGCAGAUAAUUUGGAGCUUUUUCAAUGAUGUAAACAUUUUAAAAGUCAUCUUUGGCCAAACCGAAUCGAUUUGUUUGGGUGAUUCUUGUACCAUAUCAUAAGGUAAUAACUAAUAGUGUAAUAAAUAAAAUUUGUAAUGAAAAAAAAAA
RNAcentral lists this long non-coding RNA (244 nucleotides) under Mytilus galloprovincialis (Mediterranean mussel). Lineage: Eukaryota; Metazoa; Mollusca; Bivalvia; Mytilida; Mytilidae. The record is from RNAcentral.